AGGAAUUUAGGUUAAUACAGACCAAGAGCCUUCAAAGCUCUAAGCAAACGAGUAUACGUUUAAUUCCUG
Molecule: transfer RNA, 69 nt
Filed under: Rhinolophus sinicus sinicus
Lineage: Eukaryota; Metazoa; Chordata; Mammalia; Chiroptera; Rhinolophidae
Description: tRNA-Trp
Source: RNAcentral